RNAcentral lists this ribosomal RNA (429 nucleotides) under Verrucomicrobiota bacterium. Its description in RNAcentral is "Verrucomicrobia bacterium partial 16S ribosomal RNA". It matches the Rfam family "Bacterial small subunit ribosomal RNA", at positions 355 to 776 of the family's 1533-position model. Lineage: Bacteria; Pseudomonadati; Verrucomicrobiota. The record is from RNAcentral.
UAGGGAAUCUUCCGCAAUGGACGAAAGUCUGACGGAGCAACGCCGCGUGAGUGAAGAAGGAUUUCGGUUCGUAAAACUCUGUUGUUAGGGAAGAAAAAAUGUAUAGUAACUAUAUACAAAAGAGACGGUACCUAACCAGAAAGCCACGGCUAACUACGUGCCAGCAGUCGCGGUAAUACGUAGGUGGCAAGCGUUGUCCGGAAUUAUUGGGCGUAAAGCGCGCGCAGGUGGUUUAGAAAGUCUGAUGUGAAAGCCCACGGCUCAACCGUGGAGGGUCAUUGGAAACUAAUAAACUUGAGUGCAGGAGAGAAAAGUGGAAUUCCUAGUGUAGCGGUGAAAUGCGUAGAGAUUAGGAGGAACACCGGUGGCGAACGCGGCUUUUUGGCCUGCAACUGACACUGAGGCGCGAAAGCGUGGGGAGCAAACAGG